CCUACGGGCGGCUGCAGUGGGGAAUAUUGGACAAUGGGCGAAAGCCUGAUCCAGCCAUGCCGCGUGUGUGAAGAAGGCCUUCGGGUUGUAAAGCACUUUCAGUGGGGAAGAAAGCCUUGGGGCUAAUACCCUCGAGGAAGGACAUCACCCACAGAAGAAGCACCGGCUAACUCCGUGCCAGCAGCCGCGGUACUACGGAGGGUGCGAGCGUUAAUCGGAAUUACUGGGCGUAAAGCGCGCGUAGGCGGUCUGAUAAGCCGGUUGUGAAAGCCCGGGGCUCAACCUGGGAACGGCAUCCGGAACUGUCAGGCUAGAGUGCAGGAGAGGAAGGUAGAAUUCCCGGUGUAGCGGUGAAAUGCGUAGAGAUCGGGAGGAAUACCAGUGGCGAAGGCGGCCUUCUGGACUGACACUGACGCUGAGGUGCGAAAGCGUGGGUAGCAAACAGGAUUAGAUACCCUUGUAGUC
This 465-nucleotide ribosomal RNA is filed under the name Vreelandella stevensii. RNAcentral describes it as "partial 16S ribosomal RNA". It matches the Rfam family "Bacterial small subunit ribosomal RNA", at positions 338 to 795 of the family's 1533-position model. Lineage: Bacteria; Pseudomonadati; Pseudomonadota; Gammaproteobacteria; Oceanospirillales; Halomonadaceae. The record is from RNAcentral.